UAAUUAUUUACGCUAUUUCUGCUAGAGUUACUAAUGCUCUUUUGUUUCUGGUUUUGUUUUUCCUUUCCUUCACUGAGCCGAGGGUCGAUUGGAAACAGCCUCUCUGCCCUUUCGGGUAGGGUAAGGUCCGUCUAUAUAUUAUCCUCCCCAGACCCCACUUUGUUGGACUAUACUUGGUAGUUGUUGUUGUUGUUGUAUAGGACUUAGCAAAACUCUCGAGACAUUUUUACUAUUUAAAGGAUGAUGAAUUAAAAAAAUAUGAAAGAUUGUUAGAGUAUAGAUCCAUCAAUUAUUUGACACCAACGUAAAAGAAACCAAGUAAAAUCAAAGAAAAUAUAAAUCACAUUGUAUUAAUGUUUCACUAAGCCGGGACUCAAAAAUAAAGUUUAUAUUAAAUAUACAAAAAGAUAAAUUUAAAUUGUAUGAAAGGAAACACAUCCAAUACAAUGUAAUUUGCUACUCAUAAUCGCUAAAAUACUUUAUGUCUUGCUGAUAAAGAUACUUGAAAUAAUUUAUUUUAAGUAUAAGUAACAUAAUAGAUUUAAGGAUUUAGUAUUUUGAGUUUAAUUACUUGUUGGCUUGUAACAAUUUUCAUAAUUCCAAGACCCAAUGAAAAAUUUAAUGUUUUAUUAGUUUUAAGCUUACUAUAUAAAUAUAUUUUUUCCGUAUAAAUUUAUUCGGUAUGGUUCGGUAUUUUUUCGGUUUAUUUUUAUUAUAAAAAAAAUCUACCCUAAUUUUCGGUAUGGUUAUAGAUUAUAUAAAAACCUAUGAUUUCUUUAAAAGAAACCUACAAAUUGGUUCGAUGAGGUACGGUUCGGUCGGUUUAGUCAGUUUUUAGAUAUCCAUUGACACCCUUAUAUAUAUGCAUACAUACUAUUAUAUAGUUUCGGCUAAACCGUAUGGAUGGCGCAACACCACAUCCCUUACACAUAGGUCUACCCCUAAAUCCAUAUAGGAAAUGGGCAUGUGCAGCUUACCUUCAUAAGGAAGCAUACUGUAGCACACCCUCCCAAACAGAAAAUCAUAAAAGAGUUAAAAAUUUUGAAAUAGAAGAGGAACCAUUACUUAUGGUUAGGCUAAGGUUUCACAUAUUGGUUUUGAUAAUAAUAAAUCAACGUUAGUUUUAAUCAAAGAAUAUUUAGUUGUGUUAAAUUUAUUUUUGCACAUGUUUAUUUAGUUGAAAAGGAUUUGGUUGGACUUUGCUUAUAGAAGAAAUAAUGAACUCAAGGAGUUGAAUGAAAAUCUAUGAAAAAGAAUAGAAGUCUUGCAACUAAGGAAAUAAGUAAGGAUGGGAAGAGGACAAGUCUGUCGAAAAUCAAGGAAGAAGAAAUCACAGAGGAAUCAGGAACGAGACUACAAAGAAGUGCUUAUAUUAAGGAUUUCUAGCUCGCUAAAUCCUUGGCCAGAAUAUUGUGCAAGAAGACUUGGAAGUAAUAUCAUUGAUCACACCAAAGAAGGAAUCAAAUCAGAAGUGGCUAAUUAGCUCUUUAUAUGAUUUCCUUCUACAAUGAGAGACGGUUUACUCUACUAUAUAAAGAGAAGGUUCAAUCACUUGUAGGGAAGAUCAUUCACUGAAACAAAAGCAAUAUAGCUCUUCUUUUCUGACUCGUAUUCUUGUUUAUUAAUUUAUUCAGUCUUUACAGUUCUCAGUUCUCAUACUGUUAUCACCUCGAGGGUACUUUCAUUCAAGGCUGAAGCUCUGUAUGCAUGCUCGUUUGGAUUAUUUACAUCUCAAUUCUACCUCUUACUUAUCAAUUGAUAUUGGGAGAAAUCACAUAUCCUUAAAACAACAUUAUAAAUUUUAUUGGUAUCCAAAGUUUAGGGUACACGGUUUUGCACCCACUGUGGGGCUAAGGAUAGUAGUGAUCAUUCAAUACUGAUUCUGAUGACACACACUACAUUAUGCUUGGUCUUGUCAAGUAUUUUUGUUUUCAGGAUAAAAUAUCUCAAACUCACAAACAGCACCCACAGAUGGUGAUAAUGGCCUCGGAUUCCAUGGAGACGACAAUGUAAUCGCUCCAGGGGUCGAGGUGCCACAAGUUGAUCUCGAGAGCAACCUUGUGGACGUAAGUUCACAAAUUGCUCUAAACGCGAACCUGGGAGCGGACCCAAAGGGAGUAUAUGCAGAGAAGGCUGAUAUGGUGGUCGAGGAUCAUAGGUCAGAGGAGAUGGAGGAUUCAAUCUCCAAAUGAUAUUCGAGAUGCCACAGGCUCAACAAGCCACUAUUUUCCAACUACAAAAUCAGCAUCGAACGACGAGCGGUGUUGAACCGGAGGCCAGCCGCUGGAUCGAGCCAGUGCCAGAAAGGUCGAAUACUAGUGAAUAGGGGACUGACCCUACAAUAAUGAAGUUGCUCGAGGAUCUCACCAAACGAAUUGAAUCGGGGGAGAAGAAUAUUGAGGAACACUACAAAAUGGCAGAAGCGCACAACUCCCAAGUUGAUCAAAUUCCGGGGGCACCACCGAUAGUGGAAGGACUAGAUUCUAAAUGUUCAUGCAAAGACCCUUCCCCAUGGUGUGGCUCCGAAGCCAAUCACCAAGAAGUUUUGUAUGCCUAAGAUCCCCAAGUAUAAAGGGAAGAUCGAUCUGAAUGAACACAUCACCUCGUAUAUGUGCUCCAUCAAAGGAAAUGAUUGUUAGAUGACGAAAUUGAAUUCGUACUGUUGAAAAAGUUCGAGGAGACUCUAUGGAAGGGUUCCUUAAUAUGGCACCAUAAAUGACCCCCUAAUUUUAUUAAUUUGUUUUCUAUGAUUGCAUAUUAUUUUGUAAAGGCACAAACUGAGACAUUAAAAUUGCAACGAGGAAGUCGAACCUUUUCAAGGUAAGGAAGAAAAAUAACGAGGUGCUCAGGGAAUUCGUAUCUCGAUUCCAAGCGAAGAGAAUGGAUUUACAUCCGGUCACCGAUGACUGGGCUGUUCAAGCUUUCUCCCGAGGUCUCAACACUCGGAGUUCCAUAGCUUCAAAGUAUUGGAAGCAAAUGUUAAUUGAGUACCCGGCUGUCACUUGGGCAGACAUACAUAAUCGAUAUUAGUCGAAAGUUAGGGUCAAGGACGAUCAACUUAGGGCUCCUUCGGGUCUGUUUACCCUAGCAAGACCAUGGGUAGGAUCAAAUGUGAUAGGUUUUAAAUGUUAUAGCAUUAUGAUUUGAUGAUCCAACAAACUUACUAUUAAGAACCAGAUAGGGAACCUGACCUACUCGAAUUAUACUGCAAGCUUAACGAAUUCCAGCUAAAUGUGAACUGCUACAACUUCAGUAGCUAGGAAUCCCAACGAGGAUCUGAUACCCUUGUGGUUCCCUCAUCACUGUACAACUCAAUUGGUCACAGCUAGAAAUGAAGUGACUGACUGCACUAAUUCUGCCACACUGCACUAUCUCCACCGCCCACAAGUUAGUAAAAGUCUUUGUAACUAGGAAGUUAGUGUCUUGUGGUAAGAGUAAAACAAGUUAGUUGAGUAAAUUCUUUGUAAUGGAUUCAUUGCAAAUCGGCUUGUAAUAAGACUUUUACAAGUUAGUGAAGUUGAAAGCCUACAGGUGUAGGUCGAAUUUUUCUAUCCCUUGUGUGGGAUUUUUCCACGUAAAAAUUCUCUGCCCUAUUUACGUAGUAUUUUAUUAGCAUUCUCAGCAGAAUCUUGUAGAGGGCCAAGUACGCUACUGUUUGGUGGACUUAUACAAACUAACAAUUGGUAUCAGAGCAGGCUCCUCCUAUCAAGCUAUCACCUAGGAAAGAUCCUCAUGGCUUCUCCACCAAAUUUUGAAGAAGGUCAAUCAACAUACCGACCAUCCAAGUUCAAUGAACAACACAAUGGGUGGUGAAAAACAAGAAUGCAUGAUUUUAUCAUGGCUAAGGAUUGUGAGCUAUGUGAUAUCAUAUGCGAUGGUCCUUAUGUUCUAACCAAGGUACUAGAGGAAUUUCCAUUUUCAAUAGCAAAAACCAGCAAAUAGUACAUUGAAGCGGAUAAGAAAGUUAUGGAUAUGAAUUUUCAUGCCAAGAGAAUUCUAGUAUAUGGAAUAGGACCUGAAGAGUACAAUAGAAUCGCCACCUGCGACAUUGCUAAGGAUAUAUGGGAAGCUUUGCAAAUAGCUCAUGAGGAAACUGCACAAGUAAAACAGUCUAAGCUUGAUAUGCUCACUACCGAGUAUGAACUCUUCAAAAUGAGGGACGAUGAAUCCAUUCAAGAUGUGCACACAAGAUUCACUUACAUCAUAAAUGAGUCACACUCACUUGGUGAAACUAUUCCCAAAAACAAGCUAGUAAGGAAAAUCCUCAGCUUUAUGCCUAGAUCUUGCGAAAGCAAAGUGAAUGCUAUUACUGAAUCAUUGGACUUACAGGAGAUGACAAUAGAAGAGUUGCUAAGAAACUUGAAGACCUGUGAGUUGAAGAGAAAGAUUGACAGUGAAAUAAGAGAAUCAAAGAAGGAAAAGAACCCGGUACUUAAAGAUGAUAACAAUGAUUCAAGUGAGGAAGACAAUGAAAUGGCUUACUUAACCAAAAUAUUUCAGAAUAUGGUCAGAAGAAAUGGAGAAAUGCUAAAAAGGGACAACUCUAACAGACCAAAAAACUGUGAUCUUUGUUACAAGUGUAGAAAGCCUGGACACUUCAUGAAAGACUGUCCUCUCUUGAAGCAACAAUUCUCCAAGAUCUACUAUGAGAGAACAGCUAAGACGAACCCGAUUCCUUUCAAGGAAUUCAAGAGAAAAAGAUCCGCUGACAAUUUGAUGAGGCAGGCUCUUGCAGCAUGGGGGGAUUCCUCUAGUGAGUCUGAAGAUGAACCAGGUACUAGUGAUAGUUCCAUGAUGGCAGUUGAAGGCGAUGAGACUGGAUAUGACUCAACUUUUGCUUUGAUGGCUUAAUUAGAUGAUGAUCAAGACAAUGGCACCAAAAAUGUAAAUUUUAGGGAUGGUCAGAGAAAUAUGAAAUCCUUUUCUGCAAAAAUCAAAACUCAUGUCUUUACCUAAUGUAUUAAUCACUGCUUUUCAUAGUCUUGGGGAGAAUAGGGAUUCUUUGACAUUAGAAUAAGGAGAAUCUCAACAAACUAGAGACAGCUUAGUGGUUGUAGUUAGUGACCAUAAGAAAACCAUUGAAAUCAUCAUAAAAGAAAAGAAUGAUUUGUUGACAGAAAUUGCAGACAAAAGGGAAACAAUAGUGAAACAGUGGACUAAGUCAAAACCUGAAAAUUCUGGAAAGGGAAAGAAGAUAGCCAGUGAGGAACACAUUAGGCUUGAAAAUGAGGUGAAGGUUAUAAUAUCUAUGAUGUGUGCUGAAAUUGAGAACAACAAGCUACUAUAAAAUAAUAUGGAAAGAGUAAUGAAUGAUCUUGAAAAGCCCCUAAAGUGGACCUAGUCCUCAGAAGCUACCACUACCUUGCAUACUAAUGAUUGUGAAAACGGGCAAGGAAUAGGGUUCCAAAGGGAGAAAGCUCCUCACUAUCCUCAUAGUAAGUAUGUCACUGUCUUUGAUAACUAGUUGUGUACUAGAUAUGGGAACACUGGGUGCUUCAAGGAAGAUGUCCAUUCCAAGAAUCAAUCGAUUCAAAAAACAAAGUGUUUGCUGAAUUGGUGACUACAAAAGAGGAACCAGGUUCCACUCACAAAAAUGCACAUUACCUACAUGGACUAAGAGAACUCUUAUUCAUCCUCUUAUCUACUACAAGGAGCCCAAAAUUUAUUGGGUUCCUAAAACUAAAUCUUAAUCUCAUGUGCAUGGAACAGCGAAAGAAAGAGGUCAACAAUGGUUCAUAGAUAGUGGGUGUUCAAAGCACAUGACUGGGAACCCCACAGACUUUCUUUCACUAAAAUCGCUUCAAGGAAUGAGUUUAUCCUUUGGAAAUGGUAAAAAAGGGUACAUUCUCGGAGGGUGAAAAGUUGGGAAGAUACUCACUCAUUCUAUUGAAAUUGCGUACUAUGUCAAUAGCCUUAAGUACAGUCUCUUUAGUGUCUCUCAAAUCUGUGAUAAAGGAAAUAAGGUGGAAUUCUUGUCCAGAAUAUCUAUAGUCACUAAUCUUGUGACCCGUGAAAUAGUUCUUGUGGCCAAAAGAUACAAGAACAUCUAUGUCGCUGAUGUCGAGUCCUUACAGAGUGGUGAUCUGAGUUUUCUGAAAGUUGUUGAUGAUAAUAUUGAACUAUGGCACAGAAGAGUGGGCCGUGCAAGUUUUUCUCUUCUGAACAAACUAAUUCAGAAGGACCUGGUCCAUGGUCUACCUAUGUCACAAAUCAAGAUACAAAAAAUCUGUGAUGCAUGUGCUAGAGGAAAACAUGUAAAGUCCUCGUUUAAGUCUAAAAUAGAUGAGAGCACCUCAAAGCCACUAGAGCUUCUACAUAUGGAUAUGUGUUGACCUAUGAGAGUGCAAAGCAGAGGAGGAAAAGGUACAUGUGAGCACCUCAAAGCCUCGUUUUAAAUGUUCUUUCCUUACGUUUUGAUGAUCUAACAAACUUACUUUUAAGAACCAGAUAGGGAUCCUGACCUACUCAGAUUAUACUGCAAGCUUAACGAAUUUCAGCUAAAGGUGAACUGCUACAGCUUCAGGAGCUAGGAACCGCAAUAAGGAUCUGAUACUCUUAUGGUUCCCUCAUCACAGCACAAGUCAAUUAGUCAUAGCUUGAAAUAAAGCGACGUACUGCAUUAUUUCUGUCGUACUACACUGUUUCCAGCGCACACUCAUUCUCUAACCAAAUAAAGUGCUCACAUAAUUUCAAGUGGUGUGAUCAAGGUGUACCUACAAUGAAUUUAUAUAAAACAUCACUUGAAUUUUUCAGUUUCUCAUUCAAGCUUCUUGCCAAAACAGAGAAAUCAAUCCUCACAAGCUGGUAGAACAAAGUUGAAUGCAACUAUGCACAUGUUCCUAAAAGAUAGCUUGUUGUUGUCCUAGUUGAGUUGUAACUUUGUAAUGGUACUUAUUAUAUCUCCUAAACUGCUUAGCUAGACGCGUUUGAUUAGGAAUCCUCUUGAAAAUCCGUAAACUCCUUGGGUUUAUGUUGUGACUAGGUUUAGUCAAAAGCAUGUCUUUAUAACUGUAGAGUUAAUAAGUUUCUUGUGGUGAGAGGAUCAGAAGUUAGUAAAAGUCUUGGUAACUAGGAAGUUACAAAGUGGCUUGUGGUAAGUAUACCACAAGUUUAGUAAAUUAUUUACAAUAGAGUCAUUACAAAGUGGCUUGUAGUAGGUUUUUAUACAAGUUAGUGAAGCUGAAAGCCUACAUGUGUAGGUCGUCAUUUUUUUAUCCCCUUGUGUGGUAUUUUUUCACGUAAAAAUCCUCUGCCUUAUCUACGUACUAUUUUAUUACGAUUCUCAACAGAAUCUUGUAUAUGACCAGGCACUCUACUAUAUGGCGGACUCAUACAAACUAACAAAAAGGGAUAUCGAUUGAGAACCAAGGUCGAAUAUAGAUCUCUAUGAACCGUACAACGAAGAUCGAAAAGGCAGCGGUUCUAGGCGAAGCUUCACGCAAAUGGGAGGAGAACUAAUCGAGGUCAAAAUUCAUGGGGGCUUGAUGAGGAGGAAGAUCACAUUAAAUAUCCAUAAUUUGAAUAAAGGUACAACCACAUUCCAAUUCUUUCUAUUUUUUGACUAACACAUGCAGGUGAUAGGAAGGGAUCGACACGAAGAUUUGGAUCAUAAAGCACGUGUUUCACUCUUGUCCCCUUUGGAUCUGAGCUUUUAUGCUUUUUCUCUUACGCAUAUUUACUUAACUGUUUCGGGUUCAAUCUCAAAUUCGGGAUUCGACUCGAGCUCAUUUGACCCUUAAGUUAUUUAUAGUUGCCCCUUAGGCUCUUACGCAUUCGGUCGAGACGAUCAUUUAUAUGGGCUGGCGAUAGUGGAUCUUAUGCAUUGGGUCAAUACGACCAUCUAUAUGGGAUGACAACAGUUGCUCUUAUGUAUUGGGUGUGUACGACAUCUAGUAUGGCUGGCGACAGUGGCUCUUAUGAGUUGGGUCGGUACGACCUCUAGCAUAGGCUUUAUUUUUCCUUCGUUAAGGACUUUUUUAAAUUGUGUUUGCCUGAGUCAUCGAUGGUUCAAUAAAAAACUCGAUUGUGAGUCAUUUUGUGGGGGUGAAUGAGCACCUUGGGAGGUUUUGGCUUGGUUGCUAAGUAUCUCGAAGCCUUUAGUUUAGAGCUGAAUAUGGUCGAAGCUCUUUUGCCUAUAUCGAGGGUAGCAUAUUUAACCUGUUCUUUUCAAAGUAUUUCAAAGUAAUUGAAGGCCUGUGAUUUUAUAGCCACGGUCGGGCGUCCCUAGUUGCGUUAGUUUGGUUGGUGCAACCUAGUGACCAUAGUCAUUGUGUUUGGACGGAGACUUUCAGUUCCUGAGUGAAGUAGUUUCGCCGUCUAUAUCGAGGGUAUGCCUUUUUGGGGUGUUACAAGUUCGAUAUAUAUUCUUAACUUUAAUAUCGAGUUUAUGCCUUUUGCAAGGUUUCAAAUGUUUUCAUACCUUUGAGGCCUUACAGUUUUAGUUACUUGGUACAAGUAUGGUUCAUGCCUUGCUUGAAGUCAUACAGUUUCGGUCACUUGGUACAAGUGUGGUUCAUACCUUGCUAGAGGUCUUACUAUUUUGGUCACUUGGGACAUGUGUGGUUCAUGCCUUUCUUGAGGUCAUACUGACCCAAUGCAUAAGCGCCACAGCCGCCAGCCCAUGUUAGAGGUCGUACGGACCCAAUGCGUAAGAGCCACUAUUGACAGCCCACAUUAGAGGUCGUACCAACCCAAUGUGUCACGACCCAAACUGGAGGUCCAUGACUAGCACCCAGCCAUACUUGCCGAGCAAGAACGUAUAUUUUAUCUAACCUUCCUUAUUAUCUUUUAGGGCUGACGAGAUCAAUAUAAAUAGUAGACAUGGAUAGUGGACAACAACAAUGAAAGAUGAUGGCAUGAACAUACAUAACAUGGGAUGAUCAGACAAUCAAGAAAUUAUAUAUAAGGUACGAGCUACCAUGAAAUACUAUACAACAAAAAUCAGCCGACAAGGCAUACCCAACUAUACAUGAGUUGACACCUGUCUAUGAGCUUUAAUUGAACACAAAUGCUGCAACAUUUCCAUAACAGGGCCCCGACAUUGCCCAUAAUAUCUAUAGCAAAAAUUCAUACCAAGACCAUGUCAUGUCCGGAGAAAGGAUCUAACUAAUAACCGCUGAACUGAGCAGCCUACUGUGGUGGGGGAUCUGGGUCUACCCGUCUAUCAGGACCUGCAAUAUAAUAUACAGCGUCCACAAAAAAAGGACGUCAGUACGAAUAAAGUAUUGAGUAUGUUAGGUAGGAAAGCAUACCUACGAGCAGUAAUGUAAACAGGGAUAGAGAAUAUACAACCGGUAACAUUUGGGUACCUCUGAGGGCAACUGACAUGAAAUACAUGAUACAUACAUAUAUAUACAUAAGCGUUUAAAACAUACGCAUCACAUGCAUCAUCAUCAUGUAAAAACGUAAUAGGCUUGGUAAAAAUGUACUCGGCCAUUAUAAGGCUCGGUAAAAUUGUACCCGACCACGUGGAGCUUGGUAAAACCCAACUGAUCAGUAGUUGCACAAUAGGUGUCGUACCCGGCCGACUAUAGUUCGGCUCGAUAGAUCAAAAUAGAUUCAUAUAAAUAAUGCAUGCUCGACUCAUGGAAUCACGUUCAAAACCUUUCGGAGUGACGUAAGGUAGGUAUCCCCUGUACACAUUUUAGGAAUAACUAUUCAUCAUAAAUCUUGUAAGAAUUAGGAAGUACCAACAACAUUGAUAACUUAAGAAUAAGAGAAGCAACAUCAACAUCAAUCAUUCUAUAAGAAGGGAAUCAAUGUAAGUAUUGCUAGAUUCGAAGAGUGGAGUAUCUUUGGAAGCUCAUUCAUUACAUUAUGUACAAUCGGAGUCGUGCAAAAGAGGUAAUGGGAUAACCUCACAUACCUUGUAUAUAUUUCCCAGCCUCAAGUUAUGCAAUUUCACAACUUUUUAGUCUACAAUAAGAGAAAUGAUACUAUCGUUAUCGUUUAGGCGUUGUAACUAAAUAACAUCAAUGUUAAUAAUAUUGAAACUCCCAAAACAUCCCACCAACCGAUAACAUUAGUACCAAGCCUUUCGAUAUAUAUUUCACAAGUUCUAGCUUCAAUGACUAGGCCGCAACUUGGAUAAUCUUAAAUACAUGUAGAGUAAGAUGUUGCUUACCUUUAGACAGAAAGAAAAACUCCAAUUUGAACUUAAUUUACCACGAAAUAUCCCUUCAAUGUUGCCACAACAACACGGAUGCAAAACUAGCAAUCAAUUAGGGUGUUUCGGUACUAGAAUCACUUUAGAAGGCAUGCACUCACCUAAGGUUGAUAUUAAGAACUUGAGGAAGUACUUACAGAACAUAAACCCCUUAAAGAAACCACCCACACUAGCUGGAACAAAAAAAAUGAGCAACAACAAGAAACUUACUAGCGCCACGAGAACACUUGAUUUGUGUUGUUUGCUCUUUGUUUGGGUCAUGAAUCUUGAGAGAACCUUGAGAGGGUGUUUCCAGGAUUCUAAGGCCUAAUAUACUGAAAAAGUGACUUAAACGGGUUGGAGGUAUCAUAUAUAUAUAUAUAUAUGUCUUAAACCGUCUAAGUGGCCCCAUAGAGAGCUGCUUGGCGCAGUCUCGCGAAAACAUGAAUAUCUCUCUAACUCGAGAUUGUAUCGAUGAACGGUUUAAUGAGUUAGAAACUAGGCUCAUAGAUCUUUAAAUUUUUGGUUAGAUCACCCGUAAUUCCAAGUAAAUUGGGAGAAAAGCUUAGUAACAUUUGACCGAAUGUUUAAGUAAAACUAUAAACGUGAGUUGCGACAACUUUUAUCGACUUUUGUUUAUUAACUCGCUUGACUUCAAGACUUAUGAUACAGUUAUUAUAUGAUUAAAAUACCUUAAACAUGACCUCUUGGGUAUAUUAAGAAUCUCUAGGUUUACUCAAAAAUACGGUUUACAACAUCGUUGAUUUGUUUAACUUGUAAUAUUUGUUAACCACCCUUAUACACCUUUGUAUCACAUAAUACCAAUAUGAUUAACUUCUUAUUAUCUUAAAGUUAAUCUCUUCUAAAUUUACUUCAACUACCUUAUUGCAUGAACUAACAUAUGUGAAGAUGGGUUGUAGCACCCUUCCCCCCUAGAAAUAUUUGUCCUCGAAUGUAAGGGUUUAUGGGGAAUCCAAAUCAUUGUGGAUUCCAAUGGAUAUUUCCGGUCAAUUUUCCCUAAUAAAAUGUUCAUUAGGGAAGCUUGUAAGCAUUUAGCCCAACGUAUGGCCUCAAAAGGCUACACAAUAUUACAGAUAUGUACAUUAUCUAUAUAUCACCAUUUUGUAUUAAGGAAGAUAUUCUCAAGUUAUUGCUUACCUCAUAGAUCUGUUUCAGCUUCUAAUCUAUCUUGUGUCCCACCAGUAUCCUUGUUACCUUCAUUCUAGAAUAGGUAAGGGUAUUUAGACAUCACCUCCUCUUCUGCUUCCCAUGUCAUUUCAUCCAUAUUCUUGUUUCUCUGCAAUACUUUGAUGAGGCUACAUCCUUUCUUCUCAUCUUGCGAACUUCUCGAUCUAAUAUAGCCACUAAAACUUCUUCAUAUGAUAUAUACCUUAUAACUUGUACAUGUUUGAUAGCGACGACCCGAGAAAGGUCUCCAAUAAAUUUCCUCAACAUAGAUACAUGGAAUACCGGGUGGGAAAAUUCCUAUUCAGAUGGCAAUUCUAACUCACAAGCAACGUGUCCAAUUCAUUGAAGAAUUUAUACGGCCCGAUAUACUACGGACUCAGCUUACUUUUCUUCCAAAAACGCAUAACACCCUUCAUCAGUGUGAUCCUCAGGAAAACCCAAUCGCCAACCUCAAACUCCAGAUCACGACGUCGGACAUCGGAAAAAGACUUUUUCUUGCUUUGUGUCUCCCCCAAUCGCUCAUAUAUCACUUUCACCUUCUCAAUGGCUUGGUGAAUCAAAUUUGGCCAAUAUAAUUCUAUUACUAUGAGUUCGAACCAUCCAACUGGUGAUCUACAUUGUCUCCCAUACACUAAUUUGUAUAGAGCAAUUUUAAUACUGGAAUGGAAGCUAUUAUUGUAGGAAAUUUCUAUGAGUGUUUGAUGGUCAUCCCAAUUCCCCUUGAAAUCUAGAACACAUGCUCGUAGCAUAUCUUCAAGUGACCGAAUGGCACGUUCAUCCUCUACAGAUGAAAUGCAGUGCUGAGAUUCACUUGUGUGCCUAAUCUUCUGAGAAGACCUCUAAACGUUAGCCGUAAAUUGAGCUCCUCAGUCUGAUAUAAUAGAUACUGGCACACCAUGAAGCCUAACAAUCUCCUUGAUAUACAACUUCACAUAAUCAUCAGUCGUGUAAGUUGUCUUAAAUAGCAGAAAAUGGGCACAUUUUGUAAGUCGAUCAGCAAUCACCCAGAUAGAUUCAAUCUUAUGAUAAGAGCGAGGUAAUCCAAUAAUGAAGUCUAUAUUAAUCACCUCUCAUUUCCAAGUCGAAAUUUCUAUAUUCUGAAGAAAUCCACCGGGUUUUUGAUGUUCUAUCUUGUUGACAAUUGGCAUACUGGCUACACAUUAUACAAUAGACUUCUUCAUGUUAUCCCACCAAUACUGCUCCUUGACAUCAUGAUACAUCUUUGUGCCGUGUAAGUAGUCUUAACUGGUAGAAAAUGGGCACAGUUUGUAACUCGGUCAACUAUCACCCAGAUGGAGUCAAACUUAUGAUAAGAGUGAGUUAAUCCAAUAACGAAUUCCAUAUUAAUCACCUCCCAUUUCCAGGUCAGAAUCUCUAUAUUCUGAAGCAAUCCACCGGGUUUUUGAUGUUCUAUCUUUACUUGUUGACAAUUGGGACACUGGGCUACAAAUUCUGCAAUAGACUUCUUCAAGUUAUCCCACCAAUAUUGCUCCUUGACAUCAUGAUACAUAUUUGUCGAGACGGGAUGGAUGGAAUAUCGAGAUUUAUGAAUCUCAUUCAUAGUCUUCUCUCGCAACCCUGCCACAUUAGGCACACAUAGUCGGCCUUGGUAUCUCAGUGCCUCAUCUCAUCCGAUCUCAAAAGACAUAAUAAUUUGCAUUGUUGAAUGCUCUCUCUCAAUCAUACUAAGAUACGAUCUUCAUAUUGUUGUGAUAUUACCUCGGCUAGAAAAGAUGAUUUUGAUGUAUUCUGUACACUAAAACCUUUUCCAUAAGAGUCUAACAAUAUGAUUCUCGUAUUGGCUAGCUAAUGAAGCUCUUUAGUCAACCCCUGUCUACCUGCCUCAAUGUGUACUAAGCUUCCCAUUUACUUACCAUCGAGAGCGUCUUCCACAACAUUAGCUUUACCAUGUGGUACAAUAUCUCGGCAUCGUAAUCUUUCGGUAAUUCAAUCCACCUACGCUGCCUCAAAUUCAACUAUUUUUGCUUGAAGAUGUAUUGUAAACUCAUGUGAACUGUGUAGAUUUCAACAUGGACAUCGUAUAAGUAGUGCCUCCAUAUCUUCAGAGCAUAUAUUACUGCAGCCAAUUACAAAUCAUGGGUUGGGUCAUUCUUUUCAUGCUUCUUCAAUUGUUUUGAUGUAUAUGUAAUCACUUUCUGGCGUUGCAUCAAUACGCACCCAAAACCUAUACCAAAGGCAUCACAAUAUACCACACAACCUUCUGUUCCUUCAAGGAGAGUGAUCGCUGGCACAGAUGUCAAUCGAUUCUUCAGCUCCUAAAAACUACGUUCACAAGCGUCAAACCACUGGAACUUAGUUGAUUUCUAUGUUAACUUAGUCAAUGGUACGAUAUAAAGGAAAACCCUUCUACAAAUCACUUGCAAUAUCUCGAUAGCCCUAGGAAGCUGCGGACUUCUGAUGGCGUUGUAGGUCUCGGCCAAUUCUUUAAUGCAUCGAUCUUCUGAGUGUCGAUACUAAUACCCUCAUUAGAUAUAAUAUAGCGAAGGAAUGCUACUGGGUUCAGCCAAAAUUCACAUUUGGAGAUCUUACCAUAUAACUUACGAUCCUGAAGCGUCUGUAAUACUAUCCACAAGUGGCUCGCAUGUUCUGCCUCUGAACGAGAAUACACCAUAUUAUCAUCAAUGAAUACAAUCACGAGCACAUCAAAUAGGGCAUGAAUACAGUAUUCAUGAGAUCCAUAAAAGCUUUUGGGGCAUUUGAUAGCCCAAAUAACAUCAUCAAGAUCUCAAAGUGCCCAUAUCUUGUCUGGAAGGCCAUCUUUGGAACAUCUUUCCCCUUAACCCCCAUUGAUGAUACCCUAAACGUUACUCAAUCUUGGAGAAAUACUUGGCAUCCUGGAUUUGGACAAAUAGCUUGUCGAUCCUUGGAAAUGGAUACUUGUUCUUUAUAGUAAACUUAUAAGCUAUAGAUAAUCGAUACACAUCCUAAACGACCCAUCUUCCUUCUGCACGAACAAAACUGGUGCACCCCAAGGUGAAGUGCUAGGCCUAAUGAAGCCGUUAUCCAGCAAGUAUUUCAAUUGCGCCUUCAACGCUUGCAACUCUACCGGGGCCAUUCUGUAGGGAGGGAUAAAGAUAGGUUGAGUUGCAGGCAACACAUCAAUGAUAAUCUCCCUUUCAUGAGGAAGGCCUUGGAAUUCAUUCGAGAAAACAUUUGGAAAUUCUUUGACCACGGGGAUUAUUUUAGAGUAGGCGGCGUCAUCUCUGUAUCCCUAACAUGAACAAGAUAAUAAAUGUAACCUUUUGAGAUCAUUUUCUUUGCCUUAAGAUAGGAAAUAAACCUACCUCUCGGUUCAGCAAUGUUCCCUUUUCCAUUCAAUGACGGGUUCACUAGGAAACUAAAACGUAACCAAUAUUCGUACGACAGUCAACAUUGCAUAGCAUGAGGCCGACCAGUCCAUUCCUAUUAUCACAUCAAAAUCAACCAUUUCUAACUCAAAAAAAUUUUCCGAGGUUUGACGACAACAAAUCACCAUAGUGAAACCUCUAUAUACCCUUCUAGAAAUCACAAAAUAUCCUAUCGGAGUAGAUAGUGCAAGAGGUUUACUUAUCAAUUCAGUUUCAACACAAAACUUAGCCACAAAGGGUGUAAUAUAUGAUAAUGUAGAUCCCGAAUUAAUCAACGCAUAUACAUCAUAAUAUAACACAAAAAAUAUACCAUUGACAACAUCUGAAGACAACUCGAGUUAAGCAUUGGUUUGAUCUUGAGCACCACUCGAACUCGGCACUGCAACUCUACCUUUACCACGAUGUAUCGAUUGUUAAAAACCAUGUGCUGGAGGUCGAACUAAUAAGGAAGAAGCAGACAUAGAUCUAAUAGGUUGAGACAUACCACCACCUCCUCUGUUAGGACAAUCCCGCAUCAUAUGGUCAGGAUGUCUGCAAGAAUAACACGCAUCAUCACCUCGACAGCACAGUCCAAAGUGGACCUUGCCACAGUGAUCACAAUGUUGUGUUGGGGUUCUCGUCUGACUAGUAUCCCUAUGAUGUUGCGAGCCUUAUGCCCUCGAACUCUAACCUGGACCAGAAUAGGUAAAUCGAUCAUAUCGAGGCCUCCAAAACUAUGGAGGAACACUAGCUACAGGAGGCGCCGAACUCCGCACAGACUGGGGCCUGACGCUGCCUUUUAAUUCAUCAUAAUACCCAGCAAAUCUCUUCCCCUUAUGCUUGCCCCUAUCCUGCUCCCUAUAUGCCCUCUGCCGACGCAUACAAUCCUCUACGAUCUAGGCAUAAGCCUAAAUACAGGAAAAAUCCAUAUCAUUUAGCAAGGAGGCUACCGUGCACUCAUUUGUCAAAUAUGUACUAGAGACGAAUACUUAUAACUCAACUCAACGCACGAUCUAGAUUCUGGAAGAAGGUAACAACCCUAAAUGUCAUGUAGCCUCCUGAUGAUAAAUAUGGCGCACUACAUGUCACGCCCCAAAUCGAGGGGCAUGACCGGCGCCCGACCGGGUAGCCCCACUUAAGCGGACCUGGUUACCUUUUGUUCCCACGUGUUAACCUAAAAUUACACAUUAUUAGUUAACCAAUAAUACUUGAUGCAACUGAAUAUAAACGGAACUCCACUUCUUACAAAACUAUACAUGUUAAUAUUAUCAGCUAGCGUAGGUUACAUAUUACGGCGCCCAUUAAGUACACAUAUAUUACACCUGUUCCAUAACCCACAUCAUUCAAUCUACAGAGCCUCUAAGAUGAAGAAAAUGAUACAAUACUUGCCGCCAACAAGGCCCCGGCUAUAUCUUUACAAAAGGACACAAAACUCCAAGAUACACCAACAAGGAUGGCAUGAGCCACACAAGGCCCCAGAAGGAAAGGGGAUCACCAAGUACUAACACUGCCGAUAAGGAAGGAGGAGCAGCUACGAACGGUGGACUGGAGUGCCUGCAGCGGACCCACCUACAAUCAUAACACGAAUGUAGCGCCCCCAGCAAAAGGGACUUCACUACAUUUGAAUUGUACUGACAUGCAUGAACAAACUCCGUCCUAAGAAAACCCAAGCCAAAAAUGCAUAUGCAAGUGUAAAUAUGAACAACAAUAGUACAACCAAGGAACAACAACCAAUCAUUUCACAGCAAAUGAUACAAUUAGUCAAACAAAGGGGCAAUUAGUGCCCCACAGGUUAUAUACUCUCCUACUGUCUCCUUUCAAAAUUCCACAUUGGUCAUUUCAUGAUUUAUAUACAUUUCAAUAGUGAUAUUGGAUCACAUUUUCCACCCUUAUUACCNNNNNNNNNNNNNNNNNNNNNNNNNNNNNNNNNNNNNNNNNNNNNNNNNNNNNNNNNNNNNNNNNNNNNNNNNNNNNNNNNNNNNNNNNNNNNNNNNNNNNNNNNNNNNNNNNNNNNNNNNNNNNNNNNNNNNNNNNNNNNNNNNNNNNNNNNNNNNNNNNNNNNNNNNNNNNNNNNNNNNNNNNNNNNNNNNNNNNNNNNNNNNNNNNNNNNNNNNNNNNNNNNNNNNNNNNNNNNNNNNNNNNNNNNNNNNNNNNNNNNNNNNNNNNNNNNNNNNNNNNNNNNNNNNNNNNNNNNNNNNNNNNNNNNNNNNNNNNNNNNNNNNNNNNNNNNNNNNNNNNNNNNNNNNNNNNNNNNNUCCACCCUUAUUACCUCGGCCACCCUUAUCACCCCAACCCACACCUUAUUUCACCGUGUUGCGGCGCGCAACCCGACCCCGCCUGACAGGUUUAGUUCAAAAACAACAUACAACACAACAACAAAUUUAAGAAACCAACAAUAGCACAUUGUUAAGAUAGAACCACAACAAGGGUAAUGUAUUUUCAUAACUAGCAAUAACAAUUUCCUCAUGUUCAUCAAUUUGUACACAAUUUGGGGUACCACAACAGUUGUUCACAACCAAUCAUACACGUUGUUCCACAAUAUUUUCAUUUCCACCAUUUCCAAACUCUUUCAAUUACAAGUUUCUCAACUUCUGCCACAAGGUGUUACCGCACGAACAACAGUCACAAGAAUUACACAACAGUCCCCACAUGGAUGCCAAUUACCAAGAAAUUUCACAUACCAAAGCAGGGCGAUUUCACAAGAUUCAGAGUUAGCAAUACAUAUCUGGAGUUAAUUAUCCUCUUUAACCUCUAGUCCAAUUUUCAAAGCAAUCAAGAAGUCAAUCUAGUUCAUGAUCAACACUUAUUCUUUGAAAUUAAACUCAGUUAUACCCAAAUUCCUUGUUUAGCUAGAUUCUAGGAUUUUAGCAACAUGCAUGAGAAUUUUAUGAAGAAUUUCAAAAUAAGUGUAUGGGGUUUCCAUCCAAAGCUUAAAUUUUGAAAUUUAGGGGAAUGGGUUAGGGAUUUUACCUGAGAAAUUAGUAGAGAAGAACAAUGCACCAAGAAAUUUCCGAGCUCCAAUAGUUUUGAAAGACUAGAUGAUGAAGAAUUAGCUUUCUCUCUCAAGAACUCUCUCUCCCUCUCUCUUAUUUUGGCCAGAAAUAUAUUAAAAAGGAGGGAGAAGGUGUUUUAAUAAAAGGUGGGUCGGAUUAAAAUCUUAAAAAAAUACCAGGCGAGCAGAAUCUACAACGCAAUCUGCGGUAGCAGAACUGACACGCAGUCCGCAGAAUAGACCGCAGAUUGGUCCCAAGUUUUAGUCCUCCUAGGGUUGGUAAUGCGGUGGAUAUGCAGUCCGCAUUCGUGUUCUGCGGUCGCAGAAUGCACCACAUAACUGACCUUCAAAAUUCUUCAAGGACCAUAUGCGAUCACUCUGUGGUCCGCAUAUUUAUUAUGCGACCGCAGAUCUGACUGCAUUUUUAACAUCAAAAAUUGGUUGCUCUCUGGAAACUUCUACGGCAGAAAUGCGGUCCGCAUUUCAGAUCUGCGACCGCAUUCUAGACCGCAGAUUGGACCUUUUCUGGAAAAAUUUCGGUUUCACAUUUUUAAGUGCAUAACAGUAAAAAGAAUCCGAUCCAUGUAGGUAGACUCGACUCAAUGAGCUGCUAUCAUUUGAGCACUCAUUCACGGGGCCUUACACUACUCAAGACUCUACUAGACACAACUCAUAAACAACCCUUAGGACAGACUUGCUCUGAUACCAAGUUUCUCACGACCCAAGAUGGAGGACCAUGACUACCACCCGUCUAUAGUUGCCGAGCACCAACGUAUAUUUUAUCUAAAUUGCUAUAUAAUCUUUUAGGGACGACGAGAUCAAUAUAUAUGGUAGACAUAGAUCUUGGACAACCAACAAUGAUAGAUGAUGGCAUGAGCAUACAUAUCAUGGGAUAAUCAAACAAUCAAGAAAAUAAAUAUAAGGUAUGAGCUACCACACUAACAUUAAAGACUAUACAAUAAAAAUUAGCCGACAAGGCAUACCCAACUAUGCAUGAGUCGACUCCUAUCUAUGAGCCUUUAAUGGAACAUACGUGCUACAACAUUGCCGGAACAAAGACCUGACACACCCAUAAUAUCAAUAUGAAAAAGACACACCAAGAACACGGCAAGUCUGGAGAAGGGAUCUAACUGGGCAGCUUACUGCGGUGGGGGAGUUGCAUCUACCCGUCUACCAAGGACUCAACACUACAUGCAACGUCCACAAAUAAAAAGGACGUCGGUACGAAUAAAGUACUGAGUAUAUAAGGGAGGAAAGCAUAAGUACGAGCAGUAAUGUAAACAGGGAUAUAUAAUAUACAACAUGUAACAUUUAGGUACCUCUGAGGGCUACUGACAUGAAAUGCAUGAUACAUAAAUAUAUAUACAUAAACUUUUAACACAUACGCCUCUGUGAGCAUCAUCAUCAUCCUGUCAUUCCCAGCCGUAAUAGGCUCGGUAAAAAUGUACCCGACUAUCAUAAGACUCGGUAGAAUCGUACCCAGCCACGUGGAGCCCGGUAAAACCUAACUGAUCAGUGGUUCCACAAUAGGUAUCAUACCCAACCUACUAAAGCGCGUCUUGGUAGAAUAAAACAGAUACAUAUAUAAUGCAUGACCGACUCAUGGAAUCAUGUUAUAAACCAUUCGUAGUGACGUAAGGUCGACAUCCUUCGUACACAUUUUAGGACUAACUCUUCAUCUUGAAUCUUGUAAGAACCAGGAAGUACCAACAACAUUGAUAACAUAAGAAUAACAUAAGCAACAUCAACAUGAAUUGUUCCAUAAGAAGUCCCACAAGUUAAAACAAGCACCAAACAACAUCAAUGUUAAUAAUAUUGAGCCUUCUAAAACAGUCCACCACCCGAUAACAUUUCUACCAAGCCUUUCAAUAUAUAUUUCAAGAGUUGUAGCUUCAAUGACUUAGCCAAAACUUUGAUAAUCUUAAAUACAUGUAGAGUUAGAAGUAGUUUACCUUUAAACAGAAAGAACAACUCCAAUAACCUUAAUUGUCCACGAAAUGCUACCACAACAAUCAGGAAGUGAAAUUAGCAAUCAAUUAGGGGUUUUCUGUUCUAUAAUCACUCUAGAAGGCUUGAAAUCACCUAAGGUUGAUACUAAUACCUUGAGGGAGAAUUUACAGAACAUAAAACCCUUAAAACAACCUCCAACACAAGCUGGAAUAACACAAAAAUGAGCAACAACAAGAAGAACAAGAAAUUUACUAGCGCCAUGAGAUUCCCGACACUUGGUUUGUAUUGUUUGCCCUUUGUUUGAGUCUUGAAUCUUGAGAGAACCUAGAGAGGGUGUUUCUAGGGUUCUAAGGUCUGAAUAUAGUAAAAAGCCUGAAUCAAAAUUGGUUGGAGGCAUCAUAUAUAUAUAUACAUACAUACAUACAUACAUAUAUAUAUAUAUAUAUAUAUAUAUAUAUAUACCAUAGAGAGGUGUUUGGCAUAGUCUCGCAAAAAAGCUAAUAUCUCUCUACCACGGUAUUGGUUCGAUGAACGGAAUGAUGCGUUAAAAACUAGACUCAUAGAUAUUCAAUUUUGUUGGUAUAUCACCCCAUAAUUCCUAUUAAAUUUGGUGAAAAUCUUAGUAACAUUUGACCAAAUGUGUAAGUAAAAUUAUGAACCUAAGUUGCGAUAACUUUUGUCAACUUUUAUUUCAUAACUCGUUUGACUUCAAGACUUAUGAUGAGGACAUUAUUUGAUUCAAAUAACUUAAAACAUGACCUCUUUAUUAUAUUAAGCAUCUCUAGGUUUACUCGAACAUAUAUUUUAGAACAUCCUUGAUUCAUUUAACUUGGAAUACUUGUUAACCACACUUAUACACCCUUGUAAGAUACAAGAACAAUAGGAUUAACUUCUUAUCUUCUUAAAGAUAAUCUCUUAAUGGAUUUAUAUUGACUACCUUAUGGCAUAAAAUACAUGAAUAUGGGUUAUAACACAAUGCGUAUGAGCCAUUGUUUCCAGCCGAUAUUAGAGGUCGUGCCGACCCAAUGAGUAAGAGCCAUUGUUGCCAACCCACAUUAGAGUUCGUACCGACCCAAUGCAUAAGAUCCAAUAUUGCCAGUGCACAUUAAAGGUCAUACCAACCCAAUUAGCAAGAUCCAGUAUCGCCGGCCCCUACAAAAGGUCGUACCAACGAAAUACGUAAGAGCCUAAGGGCUAGCUUCAAAAUAUAAACUAUAAGGGUCAAUAAGCUCGAGUUGAAACCUGAUUCGAAGAGUGAUCCCAAAAUAGAUAAUUGAAUACGCCUAAGAGCCUAAAAUGCCAGCUUACGUUAACAGGUCAUAGCAACGCAAAACAUAAGAGCCUAAGUCGCCAGCUUGCAUUAAAAGGUCGCACCGACCCGAUGCUUAAGGACCGUUGUCACAAGUCUAUAUAAAGGGUCGUACCGACCUAGAGAAUAAGAGCCUAAGUCGCUAGCUUACAUUAAGUUCCAACCAACCCAAUACAAAUAUAUGCAAAAGGCCUCGUAGAAAACACAAGAAAUGUGCACGCCGAUUCUCUAGCAUUAGGAAACACUAGACAGUAGCAAAAACCAAAAAAACUAAAUUUGAGAUCCACAACAUCGGAUCGAUUGCCGAACAAAUACCACAAGUCAUUCAUAAGGGAAAAUAGUAAAAGGUAAAGAGUUGAUACGAAUACAAAAGAUUCAUAAAAGUAUAAUUUCAAAGCCUACAUCUGGAACCCUUGCGAAGGUAUAAGGAAAAUGAAAACCUUAAUCUAUCACCAGAGCUACGCCUUUAAUGGCCUCCUUAUAGGAUACGCUUUCAGCAGUUUCUGCCAUAUCCUCCUGGUCUCCAGCGGUCUCCUCCCCUUCAGGGACUUCACCUCCUUUUCAUCACCUACUGAAUCGCUGCCCGACUCACUUUAAGGAAGAAGGGUCCAACUUCCUCUUCUAGGUUCUUCACCCUCUCAACUUCGGCAUUUAAAUAAACGCCCCUAUAUAUACAUCUUCGAGCAUCUGGUCUGGGACUUUAAUCGAGCAUAAUACACUACUUGGCUCAGGUUUAGCUCAGCCUUUUCGGACACCUUCCGGGCGCGAGCAUUUGUAGUUGCAGCGUCCUCCUUAUGCAAGGCCACUAGUGCCUUAGACUCAGCCCUAACUUUGGAUAGCAUAUCAAGCAAAUCAACAUGGAGAUGCUUAUUCUUACCACUCUCAGAACCCACCUUUCAAGGCUACGUCUGAUCGAAAUCACUUCCCCUUGGAGGGCAUCUCUUUCAGAGACUAUCUCACUCAAAUGCCACUUAAGCUUGAGAAUUUCGGAGUCCCUAAUCCGGAGCUAAUCGACCCGAAUGUAUUAAAAUAUGGAAGUCGUUCUGACGUACAGAUAAAAACAUACAUGAGUUAUGUAACCUAUUCAGUAAGAUGAGCCUUUUCUUGGGACGCCACCUCAAAGAAAUACCGAAGGAUAUAGAGUUCUUCCUCCCUCUUGGACGAAAGGGCUCUGAGCUCGUCGGCCUCUGAGGUAAGCUUUUUAUGAAUGCCCUCACAGUGAGUCAAUUUGAUUUUAAGAUUGGGGAACGUUUGGUCAUAAAGCACCUUGGCCUGGAACCAUGUAGCAAAGAAGGUUAGAAGGGAAAAAAUUGGGGCACCAAGCAAAAUUUACAGGUAGUUUACCUGCUCGUAUAGCCUUCUGAUCUCAGUAAAAAUAAGCAAAAUAUCAGACUCACAAAAGGCUUUUCGAAUGCACCUCUAUCACCACCAGGAAUCCCCACGCCGAGAGAAUGUACAUUGGGGAUAUUCUGAAUCUCUCUUAGAGGAAAGGCCGAAUCAGGAUGGGAAUCACUUGCUACAAUAACCUCGACUAGGUCAGUCAAGGGUGCCCCUGGCCUCUGAAGAACUUCAGAAUUGGGCUCCCCCGGAUUCCUGCCAAGCGUACCUUGACUCGAGGAAAUUUUUGGCGACAAAUCCUUGCAAGCCUCUUUGGCCCGAGGUACGACAACAACGGAAUUGUUCCGCGAUUCGAAGGUCGGCAACUUAACAGUGUGAGAGACAUGAUCAUCCUUCCUCUCAGCUCCAACUCGGAGACUCCCAGACAUUUUUGGAAUUAAGACCGUUGAACCGUCCUUAUGGUCUUCCUAUCUAGUUUUCAUGAAUUUCUAACAACAAGUUGGUUAUCCCCUCGUCUUUUCCUCUUUAUCAGGCAUUUGAGCACCCGCUUCCUUAGGCAGUUUUUCUAUCAUCAAGAAUGCCUUCCCAAGACUUGUCCAAAUACAAAAACAAGCAUGGAACGACCUCUGUAAAAAUGAAACUAUAGCAGAAAUUGAAGUCCCACCAUGAUCUUUGGCUUCCCAUCGAACCCUGGAUAAAUCCCGCAACACGUGCUCUGCGUAUGAGAAAAUCGAUUCCAGUUCGGCUACCCAUCCUAAAAGAUCCCUUACCGCUUCAGAGUACACCACGCUGUAUCAAUGGAGGAAGUUAGUCCACAAAAGGAAUGUAUCCAAAAGAAAGAGAUUAGCAGUUACAUGUGUAUGUCUACUUACACUUCAUGUUGCCUCUUUGGGGGAAUGACAUCCUCUCUAUGGGAAUCAAGUCCGAAGUCCUAACAUGUACAAAAUGACUCAUCUACCCCUAUUCCUAACCUCUUCGAUGAUUGAAAAUAGGGCCCUCGAGGCCCAAAAACGGAGCUUUAUUAGGCCCCCGUGAAUGAGUCGAGGACUAUAUUCUAAUAAAGUGGUAAAGGUGCAGGGCAUCGCGUCGAUCAUAUUCAUGUAAUGUCUGGUCAUAUGAAUGAUACGCUAGAAUGAUAGAUGAAUUUAGUAGAGUGUCACUUGAUAUUUAUCACAAAAGUCAUGGAUCACGGGGUCUAUCUAAGGCAUAAAGGGCACCGCUGGGCCGAGGGUAAAUGGAUAAGUAUAUACACUAAGGAAGUCGACCUUAUAUGUCAUUACAACCUCCCCUCGAGAAAGAACCUCCACCAGCACUGCAUGUCCCCACCGACAUUCAAUUUUCACCCUUUUAAUGUUUGUUAUAAAACUAAUAUACCGGUAUGCGGGUUUGCAUUGUCCGUCUUCGAAGGUCUCUUAAUCUUAAAAUUAAAGGUCGUCUCAAAGGCCCGUGGAACACACUCUUCCGUGUUAGGGAACGCUGCUGCUUUAGCCUCAGAACAGAGCGCAGAAGAGGAAGGCACAUUUCAUUGAGGGAAGGAGGCAAAAGUGUUCGCUAUUUUAAUCAGAGGAUAACAAAGAAGAAACUAAAGAUCACGUUUCGGUAAAACGCAUGGCAGAGAGACCAAAAGAUAGCCAACCACCAUAAUUAAUUCAAAUAUUUUAAUGAUUGUAUCACACGACCUUUGGAAGCCCCGUUUAUUGUAUCAGUUGCCUGGAAGAGCACAACUAUUUACUUCGAUAGAGGCACCAAAGGGAUAAGAUCUUGAGGACGUCUCUCUUUGUUUUACUCUGAGAAAUGCAGGGACUAUCUAUAUACAGCUCUCGGGAAGACCGAUUUUACAAUUGGCAAGGCAUUACGCAAUCUUGCCUCGAAGGUCCCAGAUGAUAGCCCGGGGUUUGAUGCCUCAGGGGAGUCUUCACGCCUGAUAUCAGGGCAGAAUGGACCAAUGUUUAUCGUUGAUAAGCGGGAAGUUCCCUAGGAGUUGUAUCUUCUAACAAACGCCUGCGCAAAUAGUGAUAGUGUACACUGGGCUGGUUGAGUGGUUAUAGCAUCGACUAUAUGUAGUAAUUACACACGCGUUUGUACUAUGUUGGGUUUCCCCUUCAUAUAUAAAGGGGACCCUUGCCAUUUCGGAGACAUAUGAUUCUCAAUAAUCAAUACAAGAACAUUCUUUCUUCUCUCUAACAUAACAUACUCUCUUGAUCUUAUUACUUGAAUUUAUUACUUAUUUUCAUCAUGUUCUAUUUAUUGUACUUAGUUUCCUAAACAACUAGCAUAAAAUAGAUCACAUAUUAUUAGAAGUACAAAAUCAAAUCUUAUUGUAGUUACCAUUUUCAAGGUACAGAGCUACCCGAUGGGAAAUGUUCGAUCUGCUCAUGUUGAUCAUGAUCCAUUCGAGGUCUACUUAUGGCAAUUGCAGUUGUUGCUCCUUAUAUUGGUUGGUACUUGAUUUGCUUUUCACCUAUCUUCGGUUCCACGUGUCACGCUAUUGUUCGAUCAUUUAUUAUGAACUAAAUUUACCCUCUACAAUAUUUGAAAAGUAUUUAUAUAAUUUGUUAAAUUUAUUUAUAUUUUAAUAUGGGUACAUGAAUAAAUACAAUUAUCUUAAGGGGAAAAUGACACUAUACAGCCGUUCUCAAUAUAAUAUCCAGAAAUAUACUUUUUUAUAUGUACUUAUUAUGUAUGUUAUAUACAAAAAUUAUACAAAUUUUAUGCACUUUUUCUGCUACAAAAUGUAAAUAGUUUCUGGCGCGGGAUAAAGGUGAAAGAAUCCCCGUUUUUAAUACUAUUUCUUAAAAAUACUUAUUCAUAUAAUGGAUAUGCCCAUAUGUUUUGGUUUUGAUAUUGUUUUGCCGAGUUCCUUUUUCUUAUGAUUCAAACAUUAUUUAACUAAGAUGUGUGUCACGACCCAAACUGGAGGGCCAUGACUAGCACCGGACCAUACUUGUCGAGCACCAUCAUACAUUUUAUCUAACCUUCUUUAUUAACUUUUAGGGUUGACGAGAUCAAUAUAAAUGGUAGACAUGGAUAAUGGACAGCCAACAAUAAAAUAUGAUGGCAUGAACCUACAUAACAUGAGAUGACCAGACAAUCAAGAAACCAUAUAUAUAAAUAUAUAUAUAUAUAUGGUUCGACCUACCAUGCUACCAUGAAAGACUAUACAACAAAAUCCAGCCGGCAAGGC
This 25452-nucleotide long non-coding RNA is filed under the name Nicotiana benthamiana. RNAcentral describes it as "long non-coding RNA (NBEN_LNC027738)". Lineage: Eukaryota; Viridiplantae; Streptophyta; Magnoliopsida; Solanales; Solanaceae. The record is from RNAcentral.